GGAAGUGGCGGCGUGCCUAUACAUGCAGUCGAACGAACUCUGGUAUUGAUUGGUGCUUGCAUCAUGAUUUACAUUUGAGUGAGUGGCGAACUGGUGAGUAACACGUGGGAAACCUGCCCAGAAGCGGGGGAUAACACCUGGAAACAGAUGCUAAUACCGCAUAACAACUUGGACCGCAUGGUCCGAGUUUGAAAGAUGGCUUCGGCUAUCACUUUUGGAUGGUCCCGCGGCGUAUUAGCUAGAUGGUGAGGUAACGGCUCACCAUGGCAAUGAUACGUAGCCGACCUGAGAGGGUAAUCGGCCACAUUGGGACUGAGACACGGCCCAAACUCCUACGGGAGGCAGCAGUAGGGAAUCUUCCACAAUGGACGAAAGUCUGAUGGAGCAACGCCGCGUGAGUGAAGAAGGGUUUCGGCUCGUAAAACUCUGUUGUUAAAGAAGAACAUAUCUGAGAGUAACUGUUCAGGUAUUGACGGUAUUUAACCAGAAAGCCACGGCUAACUACGUGCCAGCAGCCGCGGUAAUACGUAGGUGGCAAGCGUUGUCCGGAUUUAUUGGGCGUAAAGCGAGCGCAGGCGGUUUUUUAAGUCUGAUGUGAAAGCCUUCGGCUCAACCGAAGAAGUGCAUCGGAAACUGGGAAACUUGAGUGCAGAAGAGGACAGUGGAACUCCAUGUGUAGCGGUGAAAUGCGUAGAUAUAUGGAAGAACACCAGUGGCGAAGGCGGCUGUCUGGUCUGUAACUGACGCUGAGGCUCGAAAGUAUGGGUAGCAAACAGGAUUAGAUACCCUGGUAGUCCAUACCGUAAACGAUGAAUGCUAAGUGUUGGAGGGUUUCCGCCCUUCAGUGCUGCAGCUAACGCAUUAAGCAUUCCGCCUGGGGGAGUACGGCCGCAAGGCUGAAACUCAAAGGAAUUGACGGGGGCCCGCACAAGCGGUGGAGCAUGUGGUUUAAUUCGAAGCUACGCGAAGAACCUUACCAGGUCUUGACAUACUAUGCAAAUCUAAGAAGAUUAGACGUUCCCUUCGGGGACAUGGAUACAGGGGGGGGCAGGGUUGUCGUCAGCUCGUGUCGUGAGAAUGUUUGGGGUUAAGUCCCCGCAACGAGCGCAACCCUUUAUUAUCAGUUGCCAGCAUUAAGUUGGGGACUCCUGGUGGAGACUGCCGGUGAAAACCCGAGGAAAGAGGGGGGGGGGGGAGGUCCAAAACAUUCUUGGCCCUCUUUAGACUGGGGGUACCCCCU
RNAcentral lists this ribosomal RNA (1240 nucleotides) under Lactiplantibacillus paraplantarum. Its description in RNAcentral is "bacterial SSU rRNA". It matches the Rfam family "Bacterial small subunit ribosomal RNA", at positions 31 to 1222 of the family's 1533-position model. Lineage: Bacteria; Bacillati; Bacillota; Bacilli; Lactobacillales; Lactobacillaceae. The record is from RNAcentral.